RNAcentral lists this long non-coding RNA (1012 nucleotides) under Heterocephalus glaber (naked mole-rat). RNAcentral's name for it is "lncRNA (ENSHGLG00100042469.1)". The record is from RNAcentral. Lineage: Eukaryota; Metazoa; Chordata; Mammalia; Rodentia; Bathyergidae.
AAAUACUAAUCAGUACAAUAACAAGAUUGAAUUAUACACUCAUUAGGGAGAUGAAGUCAAAAGUUUUAAAAGCCUUGUCAUGACUUUUUCUUUUUGUUGGAUUCUCCCCCUUUGCAUUUAAUUUGUCACGCCCAAUGAAUUCAUUCUGUUGGGUUUCCUGGGGUUGUGAUCCUCAUUGUCUUUUCCUAGGGUAUUGUCUAAAAUUUUUUGGAGCGCCAGUUUGGUAUUCAUGAAGUUCCUGAGGUUCUCUUUGUCAUGAAAAUAUCUUAUUUCUCCAUCAAUUUUGAAAGAUAGUUUUGCAGGGUACAUCAAUCUGGGUUGGAGGCUGUUUUCCUUUAGGGCUUGAAAUACAUCACUCCAAGCUCUUCUUGCCUUGAGGGUUUGCAUUGAGAAGUCUGCUGUGAUUCUGAUGGGCUUUCCUUUGUAUGUGAUUUGUUUCUUUUUUCUCACUGCUUGUAGAAUUUUGUUCUUCUGUUGGAUUUCUGGAAUCCUAACUAUUAUAUGCCUAUGUGUAGAUUUUUUUUUGAUUAAGGCCAGCUGGAGUCCUAUAUGCCUCACUUUUCUGUAUGUCAAGUUCUUUAUCCCCUCCUUGGGAAGUUUUCUGCCAUCACUUCUGUGAACAGUUUUUUUAUGUCAUCUGCACUCACUCCUCUUUCUUCAUUGACUCCGGUCAGUCUUAUGUUACUCUUCUUUGCAUCGUCUAGCAGCUGCUGGAUUGCUUUCUGUUGUUCCUUUACAAUUUUAAAGCAAUUUUUCUUUUCCUGGUCACUAAUUGCAAUCUCAUCUUCUAUAUCUCAAAUUCUAUCCUCACAUUGGUUCAUUCUGCUGUGCAGACUUUGGAUGGAGUUUUUAACCUCCUGGAAAUCUGUUUGCAUCUGUUUUAUGGAUUCCAUUUAUUUCCUAUGUUGGGAUUCCAUCAUGUUCCUCAGCUUCUUUAUUUUAUAAUCUGUGUCCUCUCUAGAUGUAUUAAUCAUGUCUUGCACUAAGGGCACAAUCUUUGCUGUUAUCUGAG